GAUCUGGCUCAGAACGAACGCUGGCGGCGCGUUUAAGCAUGCAAGUCGAGCGGCAAGGGCCUUCGGGCCCCUAGAGCGGCGGACGGGUGAGUAACACGUGGACAAUCUGCCCCCCGGCCCGGGGUAGCCCAGGGAAACCUGGAUUAAUACCGGAUGAGACGGGACCCGCGAUGGCGGGAUCCGGGAAAGGCGCUGCGGCGCCGCCGGGGGAUGAGUCUGCGUCCCAUUAGCUAGACGGCGGGGUAACGGCCCACCGUGGCGACGAUGGGUAGCCGGCCUGAGAGGGUGGACGGCCACAUUGGAACUGAGACACGGUCCAGACUCCUACGGGAGGCAGCAGCUAAGAAUCUUCCGCAAUGGGCGAAAGCCUGACGGAGCGACGCCCGCGUGAACGAAGAAGGCCGUGAGGUUGUAAAGUUCUUUUCGGGAGGGGGAACAACCGUGGCAGGGAAUGGCCGCGGGAUGACGUGAAUCCCGGAAUAAGCCCCGGCUAACUACGUGCCAGCAGCUGC
This 512-nucleotide ribosomal RNA is filed under the name uncultured bacterium. Its description in RNAcentral is "bacterial SSU rRNA". It matches the Rfam family "Bacterial small subunit ribosomal RNA", at positions 15 to 518 of the family's 1533-position model. The record is from RNAcentral.